This 456-nucleotide ribosomal RNA is filed under the name uncultured bacterium. RNAcentral's name for it is "bacterial SSU rRNA". It matches the Rfam family "Bacterial small subunit ribosomal RNA", at positions 340 to 786 of the family's 1533-position model. The record is from RNAcentral.
UACGGGAGGCAGCAGUGGGGAAUAUUGCACAAUGGGCGAAAGCCUGAUGCAGCUAUGCCGCGUGUAUGAAGAAGGCCUUAGGGUUGUAAAGUACUUUCAUCGGGGAGGAAAAAACAAAACUAAUAAUUUUAUUUCUUGACGUUACCUGAAAAAGAAGCACCGGCUAACUCCGUGCCAGCAGCCGCGGUAAUACGGAGGGUGCUAGCGUUAAUCAGAAUUACUGGGCGUAAAGAGCACGUAGGUGGUUUUUUUAAGUCAGAUGUGAAAUCCCUGGGCUUAACCUAGGAACUGCAUUUUGAAACUGAAAUACUAGAGUAUCGUAGAGGGAGGUAGAAUUCUAGGUGUAGCGGUGAAAUGCGUAGAUAUCUGGAGGAAUACCUGUGGCGAAAGCGGCCUCCUAAACGAAUACUGACACUGAGGUGCGAAAGCGUGGGGAGCAAACAGGGAUUAGAUACC